CUGCUUCCUAGGGAGGGAGGCUGGGGCGGCAAGGCGGGCGCGGGUGGUCCUUGCCCCGCGCCAGCUCGCCAGGCCACGUCGCUGGCGUUUUUCCAGCGCUGGGUCACCUGCGGGCCGGCGGGUUCCCGCGGCGAACAGCUGGGUGGUAUGGAUACGCCGCUCGAGCCUCCGCAGCGUCAGGUCGCCAGGGUCCGCCCUGCCACUCGCCCCACCUUGAGCUACCUCUGAAGAAAAGAUGAUGGCCCGGUGCGGUGGCUCACGCCUGUAAUCCCAGCACUUUGGGAGGCCGAGUCAGGCGGAUCACCUGAGCAGUGUAAAGAAAGUCUGAAGAAUACUCCAGGAAAAUUGAGGAAACUAAAGCUAUUUCUACUACUGGUCUCAUAAUUGCAAAGCCAGUGCCUACCAUGAUAAGUGCUCUCUUACUUGGUAUGAAGGAAAUGAUUUUCUUCCCUUGCUAUUUUUUUUAGCUGGAGUGCAAUGGCGUGAUCUUGGCUCACUGCAAC
RNAcentral lists this long non-coding RNA (503 nucleotides) under Homo sapiens (human). RNAcentral's name for it is "HSALNT0335112". The record is from RNAcentral. Lineage: Eukaryota; Metazoa; Chordata; Mammalia; Primates; Hominidae.